Molecule: ribosomal RNA, 253 nt
Filed under: uncultured bacterium
Lineage: Bacteria
Description: partial 16S ribosomal RNA
Rfam family: Bacterial small subunit ribosomal RNA
Source: RNAcentral
UACGGGGGGGGCAAGCGUUGUUCGGAAUUACUGGGCGUAAAGGGCUCGUAGGCGGCCAACUAAGUCAGACGUGAAAUCCCUCGGCUUAACCGGGGAACUGCGUCUGAUACUGGAUGGCUUGAGAUUGGGAGAGGGAUGCGGAAUUCCAGGUGUAGCGGUGAAAUGCGUAGAUAUCUGGAGGAACACCGGUGGCGAAGGCGGCAUUCUGGACCAUAACUGACACUGAGAGACGAAAGCCAGGGGAGCAAACGGG